RNAcentral lists this ribosomal RNA (222 nucleotides) under Ablerus sp. D0816. RNAcentral's name for it is "partial 28S ribosomal RNA". It matches the Rfam family "Eukaryotic large subunit ribosomal RNA", at positions 967 to 1163 of the family's 3401-position model. The record is from RNAcentral. Lineage: Eukaryota; Metazoa; Arthropoda; Insecta; Hymenoptera; Aphelinidae.
UUUCCCUCAGGAUAGCUGGCACUCGCUUAUAGCGAGUCUCAUCUGGUAAAGCGAAUGAUUAGAGGCCUUGGGGCCGAAACGACCUCAACCUAUUCUCAAACUUUAAAUGGGUGAGAUCUCUGGCUUGCUUGAACGUUGAAGCCACGAGAUGCGACCGAGUCGUCGCCAUGGAUCAGAGUGCCAAGUGGGCCAAUUUUGGUAAGCAGAACUGGCGCUGUGGGA